GGCGGCGGCGAGAGGGGCUCCCAGAGUGUGUGAGGAGCCGGGGAGGGAGGCGAGGUCCCCUGGAGCCGAGCCCGGGCUACGGCAGCGGCGAGAAGGGCUCCCAGAGUCAGGGCCGCCGGGGGGGGAGGAGCAAGUGGGGCAAUUUUCCCCGGGCCCCGCAGGGGCCCCCACGAGUGUUUUGGAGGCUCCCCCACCUCGGUCGUCCCCCAUCCCCCGGUGUCUCAGCUGGUAAGGGGGCGGGGCUGCGAGCUGCAGCCGAACGGCGGGAACUCAGGCCCCGCUGGAGACUCUACGCCGCUGCAGCGGUGUCCGGGAGAGGCGCCAAUCCUGUGGUUUUGUGGGGACUGAGACAUGAUUUUUGAAGGCUUGAGGUUGGCAGACCUGCAGUUUUGAAGUUGUGAGUGCAACAGUGAGAAGCAGAAAGUGAAACCUGACCUGCCUAGUUUCAUUGUCCAAACUGAGGACGCAUCAAAGACAGGAGGAAUAUAUGGCUGAUGUAUCCUACUUUUUCUGUGAUGUUUAGGCGCGAAAUGGGAAGUGAAUAUGAAUGGAAGCAAGAGAAUUGAUGGGCC
Molecule: long non-coding RNA, 572 nt
Organism: Gopherus evgoodei (Goodes thornscrub tortoise)
Lineage: Eukaryota; Metazoa; Chordata; Testudines; Testudinidae
Exons: 3
Source: RefSeq, a predicted model, not a curated record